UGGGGAAUAUUGGACAAUGGGCGAAAGCCUGAUCCAGCCAUGCCGCGUGUGUGAAGAAGGUCUUCGGAUUGUAAAGCACUUUAAGUUGGGAGGAAGGGCAUUAACCUAAUACGUUAGUGUUUUGACGUUACCGACAGAAUAAGCACCGGCUAACUUCGUGCCAGCAGCCGCGGUAAUACGAAGGGUGCAAGCGUUAAUCGGAAUUACUGGGCGUAAAGCGCGCGUAGGUGGUUCGUUAAGUUGGAUGUGAAAGCCCCGGGCUCAACCUGGGAACUGCAUCCAAAACUGGCGAGCUAGAGUACGGUAGAGGGUGGUGGAAUUUCCUGUGUAGCGGUGAAAUGCGUAGAUAUAGGAAGGAACACCAGUGGCGAAGGCGACCACCUGGACUAAUACUGACACUGAGGUGCGAAAGCGUGGGGAGCAAACA
Molecule: ribosomal RNA, 427 nt
Filed under: uncultured bacterium
Lineage: Bacteria
Description: partial 16S ribosomal RNA
Rfam family: Bacterial small subunit ribosomal RNA
Source: RNAcentral